UACAGAGGGUGCGAGCGUUGUUCGGAAUUACUGGGCGUAAAGCGCGCGCAGGCGGCCUUUUAAGUCUACCCGUGAAAGGCCGGGGCUCAACUCCGGCUCGGCCGUGCGGACUCUCGCGCUUUGUGAGUGCUGUAGAGGCGGGCGGAAUUCCGGGUGUAGCGGUGGAAUGCGUAGAGAUCCGGAAGAACACCGGUGGCGAAGGCGGCCCGCUGGGCAGUGACUGACGCUGAGGCGCGACAGCGUGGGGAGCAAACAGG
Molecule: ribosomal RNA, 257 nt
Filed under: uncultured bacterium
Lineage: Bacteria
Description: partial 16S ribosomal RNA
Rfam family: Bacterial small subunit ribosomal RNA
Source: RNAcentral